RNAcentral lists this ribosomal RNA (253 nucleotides) under uncultured bacterium. RNAcentral's name for it is "partial 16S ribosomal RNA". It matches the Rfam family "Bacterial small subunit ribosomal RNA", at positions 524 to 776 of the family's 1533-position model. The record is from RNAcentral.
UACGGAGGGUGCAAGCGUUAUCCGGAUUCACUGGGUUUAAAGGGUGCGUAGGCGGGUUGGUAAGUCCGUGGUGAAAUCCCCAAGCUUAACUUGGGAACUGCCGUGGAUACUAUCAAUCUUGAAUAUCGUGGAGGUAAGCGGAAUAUGUCAUGUAGCGGUGAAAUGCUUAGAUAUGACAUAGAACACCAAUUGCAUAGGCAGCUUACUACACCAUCAUUGACGCUGAGGCACGAAAGCGUGGGGAGCAAACAGG